Molecule: ribosomal RNA, 143 nt
Filed under: uncultured eukaryote
Lineage: Eukaryota
Description: partial 18S ribosomal RNA
Rfam family: Eukaryotic small subunit ribosomal RNA
Source: RNAcentral
UGGUGGAGUGAUUUGUCUGGUUAAUUCCGUUAACGAACGAGACCUCGACCUGCUAAAUAGUAUGGUGAAUGCUCCGGCAUUUAUUUACGACUUCUUAGAGGGACUAUCGGUGAUUUAGCCGAUGGAAGUUCGAGGCAAUAACA